This 468-nucleotide ribosomal RNA is filed under the name uncultured bacterium. Its description in RNAcentral is "partial 16S ribosomal RNA". It matches the Rfam family "Bacterial small subunit ribosomal RNA", at positions 28 to 507 of the family's 1533-position model. The record is from RNAcentral.
GACGAACGCUGGCGGCGUGCUUAACACAUGCAAGUCGAACGGAAAGGCCCUGCGUUUGUGGGGUGCUCGAGUGGCGAAGGGGUGAGUAACACGUGAGUAACCUGCCCUUGACUUUGGGAUAACUUCAGGGAACUGGGGCUAAUAUCGGAUAGAAGCUCCUGCAGCAUGGUGGGGGUUAGAAAGUUUCGGCGGUUGGGGAUGGUCUCGCGGCUUAUCCGCUUGUUGGGGGGGUAGUGGUUUACCAAGCCUUUGAAGGGUAGCCGGCCUGGGAGGGGGAACGGCGACAUGGGGCCUGAGGGACGGCCCAGAAGGCUACGGGAGGCAGCAGGGGGGAAUAUUGCAGAAUGGGCCGAAGCCUGAUGCAGCAACGCCGCGUGCGGGAUGACGGCCUUCGGGUUGUAAACCGCUUUCGCCUGUGACGAAGCGUGAGUGACGGUAAUGGGUAAAGAAGCACCGGCUAACUACGUG